RNAcentral lists this ribosomal RNA (513 nucleotides) under uncultured bacterium. Its description in RNAcentral is "partial 16S ribosomal RNA". It matches the Rfam family "Bacterial small subunit ribosomal RNA", at positions 28 to 523 of the family's 1533-position model. The record is from RNAcentral.
GAUGAACGCUGGCGGCGUGCCUAAUACAUGCAAGUCGAGCGAACAGACGAGGAGCUUGCUCCUCUGACGUUAGCGGCGGACGGGUGAGUAACACGUGGAUAACCUACCUAUAAGACUGGGAUAACUUCGGGGAACCGGAGCUAAUACCGGAUAAUAUAUUGAACCGCAUGGUUCAAUAGUGAAAGACGGUUUUGCUGUCACUUAUAGAUGGAUCCGCGCCGCAUUAGCUAGUUGGUAAGGUAACGGCUUACCAAGGCAACGAUGCGUAGCCGACCUGAGAGGGUGAUCGGCCACACUGGAACUGAGACACGGUCCAGACUCCUACGGGAGGCAGCAGUAGGGAAUCUUCCGCAAUGGGCGAAAGCCUGACGGAGCGACGCCGCGUGAGUGAUGAAAGUCUUCGGAUCGUAAAACUCUGUUAUUAGGGAAGAACAAAUGUGUAAGUAACUAUGCACGUCUUGACGGUACCUAAUCAGAAAGCCACGGCUAACUACGUGCCAGCCGCCGCGGUAA